Molecule: non-coding RNA, 2298 nt
Organism: Aegilops tauschii subsp. strangulata
Lineage: Eukaryota; Viridiplantae; Streptophyta; Magnoliopsida; Poales; Poaceae
Source: RefSeq, a predicted model, not a curated record
AUGAACCGCUUUUUUCACUUGCCCGUGGCAUAGUGGGUAAUUUCUGUCAAACUCGAUUAAUCUACCCCAUAAUAACUCGGUCCCGUUAGAUUAACGGCUCCUGAUUACUGAUUAACGUAGUAGUUUCUAGGGAGUCACAAAUUAGUAUAGGUAUACAUAGAUAGAUAGAUAGAUAUAGAUAGAUAGAUUCCACCCAAGCAUGAUAUUAAUCAAUCUCUGAAAGCUAUGAGAAUUUCUAUGUAUGAGUGCAAAGAAAGAACCACUAAGAUGCGUGCUAAGCGAGAGUGGCUUGUAAAAGCGUGUUCUUUUAGUUUUUUUGAAAAUAAUGAUGAAGAUCUUGAAGUGAUUGAUGUUACUCCUAUUGAAUCGUUGUUUUCUAAUAUAUAUCUUGAUAAAGAUGGGACUGGAGAUGAGUCAAAUCUAUAAUACCUAAAUAGUUCAUCUCCACUAAGCUAUUUCUCUCAACAUGCAGCCUAUCCACAAACACACUUGCCACAUCAACGUUUUGUUAGGGACUUACAUACAGGACCAAUCAAUGCAGCAACCCUGCCACAUAAGCCUUCAGUUACUGCUAAGGGCCCACUACAAUAUGUCCUCACGAGCACCCUUUCAUUCUGAUUCGGUGCUCUCGCAAGCCACACAAAACGUCCCCCUUCCCAUUCCACUUCCACUUCCUCCUUUAAUUCCCAACCCGUCCUCUGCCUCCACCGGUCUACCUUCUUGCCCCCCCAAACAAAUCUUCCUCCCUGAGACCUCCUAAUCUCGUGGCGUGACCAGCCACUGCUUGCAGCGCCGGCUGCUCCUGGCCGUGGUGGAGCUGGAUGGUGGUCUGGAGUUGUUCUUCCCCGGCCGUGCGGGAGUUGGAAGAUGGUGUGAGUGCCCUCGGUCGUGCAGGGCUUCGGUGUUCUGUGAUGUUACGUGCAUGAUGGCGAGGUGCUGCGGCGGCGGCGGUGUGAUACAUUACAGCCAACUGGCCUCAAUUCAUCGUGAUGGGUGGAGGUGGGCGAUGUUACGGAUGAAAAUCUUGCCCGUCUUCGGUCGGUGUUGGCGACGACGGCGCCUGCGGGUGUCGUUUCCCUCCUUGGAGGCGUCGUUACGGUGUGUCGGCAUCUCCCCCUUCUCCGGGCGAAAGCCUAGGUCUUGGACCGACGAUGGCGGCGUUUCGGCGUCGUUCCUCUGUUGAGAGCAUCACGCGUGGAGACUUGGCUUGAAGGCUUUGUGAUGCGGUUCUCCAGUGCGGGCCGCUGGUUCGAAUUGAGGUUCUUGGGCGCAAUGUACAUCAAUGCCGAUGAGUCCAAGACGGUGGCUUUCUCAGGACCAACCGAGUCCCGCCACCCACUCGCCAUCUCCUUUUCGGCAUUCAAGGGUGGAUGGUGCGUCGACAAGGGAUGUCCGGUUGAAGUUGUCACCUUUUUGAGGUGAUCGGUGUUGGUCGAGACGCGGCUUUGAUGAUCUGCUUAGGGCAGGCUCCUUUGCAUUGUGUUUGUAAUGUGUGCGAAGGCUUUUCUUCGGAUUAGCUCGGGUGUAUUGUGUGUUCUACAACCGUUGUUCGCAGCGAGUUGUAGCUUCUUGUAAUUGUCUUCUGCCUUAUGGUACGUCUUUGGCGUACUCUCGAAAAAAAAAAAGACCUCCUAAUCUCUCCCAUCCAGUCGCCGCUAGAACAUGUACCUACGCCCAACAGCCGGGUGACUGCUCGACUCCUUCCACCUGCCGGUCGAAGAGAUGAGAAGGAUAGGGCAUGUGGUAGCUAUCGCGCUGCCCCUGCCGGAGAAAUCGCCGGUGUUCUGCCUGAACGCGGGUGACAGAUGCCCGUGGUGCUGGUCCUCCGAGGGCCAGGCUGGUGGUGAGGCCGGGCAGGGCUCCGUUCAGAGCGACGGCUUGGAGGGGCGAUAGAUCCAUCUCCUCCCGCAGGUUCCGCCCCGGCUAAUUCACAGAACAUAUUAUACUACAGCAAUGGUGGAAUUGCUUUUCCAAGCUGCUGCUAAGAAGGACGAGCUAAAAUAAAUGCUUCAGUUUGGGUUGGCUUGAUUCAACCUGUUUCAAAAUGAUAUACGUCUUGAGGAUAUGAGAGGGAAGAAGCAUGAUGGUGUGCAUUAUGCAUCGCUACAGGACUUUGCUGCGAAGCCUGCUUCUUUCAGGUACGAUACUAGGUAUACACGGAAAAGUAGCUGCCAUGCAGCAGUAGCAGUCGCCAGCGGAGUAGCAUGGCCUUUCCCAUCUUGGUGAUCUGAACGAAUAUGUUUGCUUGAAACUUCUGUGGGUUAUAUACAAAAUUCUAGGAAUUCUAUAACCGCUGCA